UCUUGCUAAGUUUGAUGGCGACCGGCGCACGGGUGAGUAACACGUAUCCAACCUGCCGAUAACUCGGGGAUAGCCUUUCGAAAGAAAGAUUAAUACCCGAUGGCAUAAUAGAACCGCAUGGUUUGAUUAUUAAAGAAUUUCGGUUAUCGAUGGGGAUGCGUUCCAUUAGGCAGUUGGUGGGGUAACGGCCCACCAAACCUUCGAUGGAUAGGGGUUCUGAGAGGAAGGUCCCCCACAUUGGAACUGAGACACGGUCCAAACUCCUACGGGAGGCAGCAUG
Molecule: ribosomal RNA, 280 nt
Filed under: uncultured bacterium
Lineage: Bacteria
Description: partial 16S ribosomal RNA
Rfam family: Bacterial small subunit ribosomal RNA
Source: RNAcentral